This 901-nucleotide ribosomal RNA is filed under the name uncultured archaeon. RNAcentral describes it as "bacterial SSU rRNA". It matches the Rfam family "Archaeal small subunit ribosomal RNA", at positions 44 to 922 of the family's 1478-position model. The record is from RNAcentral.
CUAAAACAUGCGUGUCGAACGUUUCCAAGCCAUGGAGGAAACGUGGCAUACGGCUCAGUAACACGUGGCCAAUUCACCCUUGGGACAGAGACAACCCCGGGAAACUGGGGCUAAUCCCUGAUAAGCGACGAGGCCUGGAAUGGUUCAUCACUCAAAAGCCUCAAGACCAUGCUCAAAGAGGCGCCCAAGGACAAAGCCGCGACCGAUCAGGCUGUUGGUAGGGCAACGGCCUACCAAACCUAUAACCGGUACGGGCCGUGAGAGCGGAAGCCCGGAGAUGGAUACUGAGACAAGGAUCCAGGCCCUACGGGGCGCAGCAGUUGCGAAAACUCCACAAUGCACGAAAGUGUGAUGGGGCUACCCCGAGUGCCGUCCGCUGAGGAUGGCUUUUCUCUGCUGUAAGGAGGCGGAGGAAUAAGGAGAGGGCAAGCCUGGUGUCAGCCGCCGCGGUAAUACCAGCUCUCCGAGUGGUAGGGAUGAUUAUUGGGCUUAAAGCGUGCGUAGCCGGCUUGACAAGUCUUCUGUUAAAUCCAGCAACCCAAUUGUUGGACUGCGGGAGAUACUGUUUAGCUAGAGAACGGGAGAAGCCGACGGUACUCUCAGGGUAGGAGUGAAAUCCUAUAAUCCUGGGAGGACCACCAGUGGCGUAGGCUGUCGGCUAGAACGUGUCUGACGGUGAGGAACGAAAGCUUGGGGAGCGAACCGGAUUAGAUACCCGGGUAGUCCAAGCUGUAAACGAUGCGGGCUAGGUGUUGGGGUGGCUACGUGCCACUUCAGUGCCGCAGGGAAACCGUUAAGCCCGCCGCCUGGGGAGUACGGUCGCAAGGCUGAAACUUAAAGGAAUUGGCGGGGGAGCACCACAAGGGGUGAAGCUUGCGGUUUAAUUGGAUUCAACGCCGGG